AUUGAGUAGUACAAAGUCCGGGGUAGCUAAUUGAGUAAUUGUUCACCCUUUGAUUUCCUAUUGAGUAGUACAAAGUCCGGGGGACUUUUCACGUAUAUUAAGAGAGGAAUAAAAUGACAAAAUUGUCCAUAAUAAUGUCAUUAAAUAUGGAGAUAGAAUUUGAAUAAGAAAAUUAUGAGAUAUUUAAUGCUACGGGCAUAAUAGGAAAAAAUGUGUAAAAGUUUGGUUAUUAAAAGAAAGUGGGCAUUUAACAUUGAACCCAAAAUAGUAAUAACGACUUUUAUCUUGGGACAGAGAGAGUACUAUUUUUUGGGUACUGCUGGAGCUUCCCGUCACAAAAACUUGUAGCCAUCAUUAAUCAAACACCAAACUAAAUUAAUUCAGUGAAGUUUAUUGUGUUUGUUUUUUCAAAAUUUAGUCAAGCUAAUUAUACUUUUAUUGGACCGUACACUAAAUAUAUAUUCAUACAAAGACACCCGACAUACAUAAGCAACACACUUGGAGGAACCCAUUAAAAGAAGAAUGUUGAUGGGAAAAGUGUUGGAAUGCUUGUCUGAAAGGAGGCUUCUUGUCUGAAAUAAGAAAAUAAACAUGCAUAUUUUAUGAAUCUUAUCAUUUAACAAAACAUCACAUAACAAAAAUGACUUGAUAUAUAAGCUCUAGAAAUGAACCUUAGAGAAGUCUUGUAUCUACACACUUGAGAGCUUCCCGUUGAUUCAAUACGUUUAGUCUGUUCGUUCCAAGGUCUGACAGUGUUUUCUGUUUUCUCUACAUUGACAGCAUCAUCCUCAGUAAUUGUGAAGAGCGAUGGCCGCCACUGUGCUGGUGGUGCCGCCUUUCUACCACCAACCUUCCCCGAGCCUCGGUAACAUUUCUUCCCAUUGCAAGACAUUUGCUCAAGGCUGCUAAACCUCCAGCAGUCCAAGUAGUAGGUGUUGUCACCACAGGCGCAACAGGGCCAAAGCAAGAUACAAGAUUCAAUAAUAAC
RNAcentral lists this long non-coding RNA (988 nucleotides) under Panax ginseng (ginseng). RNAcentral describes it as "long non-coding RNA (PGIN_LNC015325)". The record is from RNAcentral. Lineage: Eukaryota; Viridiplantae; Streptophyta; Magnoliopsida; Apiales; Araliaceae.